UACGUAGGGUGCGAGCGUUGUCCGGAUUUACUGGGCGUAAAGAGCGCGCAGGCGGUCGUUCAAGUCGAGUGUGAAAGCCCCCGGCUCAACUGGGGAGGGUCACUCGAUACUGAUCGACUUGAAGGCAGGAGAGGGAAGCGGAAUUCCCGGUGUAGUGGUGAAAUGCGUAGAUAUCGGGAGGAACACCAGUGGCGAAGGCGGCUUCCUGGCCUGUUCUUGACGCUGAGGCGCGAAAGCUAGGGGAGCAAACGGG
RNAcentral lists this ribosomal RNA (253 nucleotides) under uncultured bacterium. RNAcentral's name for it is "partial 16S ribosomal RNA". It matches the Rfam family "Bacterial small subunit ribosomal RNA", at positions 524 to 776 of the family's 1533-position model. The record is from RNAcentral.